UACGUAGGGUGCAAGCGUUGUCCGGAAUUAUUGGGCGUAAAGAGCUCGUAGGCGGUUCGUCGCGUCGGCUGUGAAAACCUGAGGCUCAACCUCAGGCCUGCAGUCGAUACGGGCGGACUUGAGUACUGCAGGGGAGACUGGAAUUCCUGGUGUAGCGGUGAAAUGCGCAGAUAUCAGGAGGAACACCGGUGGCGAAGGCGGGUCUCUGGGCAUUAACUGACGCUGAGGAGCGAAAGCAUGGGGAGCGAACAGG
RNAcentral lists this ribosomal RNA (253 nucleotides) under uncultured bacterium. RNAcentral describes it as "partial 16S ribosomal RNA". It matches the Rfam family "Bacterial small subunit ribosomal RNA", at positions 524 to 776 of the family's 1533-position model. The record is from RNAcentral.